GAUGGCAGCAGGAGGGUUGCUGUCACGGUAAUUUCCUCAAUCAAGCCCAAGGAACGAGCUCUUUCAAUGUCAUGCUCAAUAGAUCUAGCAAAGACAAGAAGAAGUGCAUUCUGUGCAGGAGAGUGGGAUGAUUCAAGGUUCUCCAAUGCAGAAACAGUAACUAGACGGUCGUUGGAGUUGGUUAUAGGAGGAGCAAGGAUGAUAGAAGCACCAGUUUGAUUUUGCAGAGCUCUGACUACAGACCCUCCCUUGCCUAUGAUGCUCCCAGCUGCACCAUGGGAGCAGAUUAUCCUAAAUUGAACUUGUAAUUGUUCGUUAGGUUUCUUAUGGUCUCUAUCAGUUGCAAUAUUUUCAGAAUAUGUGGGUAGCAGGGAACACAAAUGAGGGAAGAAUUCUGCAUGUGGAUCACCAGAGGAACCACUUCUUCUUCUCCUAACAGCUUCAAGGCUUAAAUCCACUUCAUCCUUCUCAUAUGGACGACAAUCUUGAAGGCAGCUAGUUACAGCAAUCACAGCUUUCUUUACAGCCACAGUGCUAGUCCCUGUAAUCUUUUUUUUUUUUUUUGGUUUCAUACACCAAUUUUUUUCAAAUUUCAUUUCAGAUGAUAUAAAAGAUUUUAUUUUACUUAAACUAUGAUUUAAGACAUUAUUAAAUAUAUCAAAAUGUGUAUUACUUUCUCCUACAAAAACAUAAAAUCUAUCAUGAAUUAUUAUACGAGAAAUAUGUAGCAAAAAAAAGGAAGAAAAAAACCUGAAUUAAUUGAUCUUCCUUUAACGCGCAAAGUGGGGCCGGGAGAAUCCAGAUAUGGGCCCCACUAGCUCUCUUCAUUCUCUUGAUAUUCCUGCCUUCACUACCCACAACGGCACCAAUCUGCGACGUAUUGGCCAAAAUUCCACAAUACCCCUCGCAAUCACCGCCAUCUUUCACCGCAUCCACCUCCCACAUCCUCUCCAAAACCCUAACCACCGCUUCCUGCGCUGCAGACACUUCCACCGUCUCAUCUUCACCCACCUCGAUUUUCCUCUCUGGGGAUGCGGACCCCGCCACCACGAUCGCCCAGUGCUCCGACCCCUUCACGGCCUCCUCGCAGUGAACAAGGCAACCGGUUUCAAGCCGGAUUUGGGAUAUUACGGAUCCGGAGUGGCCGAUGAGAGCACCGAUUUUCGAAGCAUGGCAGACUACUCGGAAUGCAACCUGACCCGGUUGGAGCUCGAUCAACGGCUGUCGUGGAGGGCGCUUGUGACGGUGAUGCUUCUGGUGGUGCUGCAUUGAGUGGAGAAAUGGAAAAGGAGGGAAUUUUUUUAGACUGUACCAACUAUUUUUACCUUUCCUUCCACUAGAAAAGAGGAUGAAGACAAUAAAACGAAAGAAGAGGGUGGGAAAAAAAAUGGAAUGAGGGUGAGCGUGUGAGUGUGAGUGUGAGCGUGUGUAGGAGUGAAUAAAAGAUUUAUGGGCCACCCAGCGCGAUGAGUGAGUGAACCGGGCCUAGGAGACGACCCGGGUAAUCAGGUUUAUUAUCAGGUCAUUGGUGUGUGUGUGUAUAUCCCAUUAAAAAAUCUUUUGAAUACAAAAAAAUACAUAGGCAUUACAAAAGAAUUUUAACAAUAAAUUCAAAACAUGUCGUAUACAUGAUAAUAUAAUGUUUGGAAACGCGAUGCAAGUUACAUUUCAUAAAAAUUUUAAAAUUUUAUUUGCUAAAAAUUAAUUAUUUUAUGUGUUUUGAAUUGUUUUGAUGCAUUGAUUUCAAAAAUAAUUUUAAAAAAUAAAAAAUAUAUAUUUUAAUAUAUUUCAACAUAAAAAACACUUUAAAAAUUAACUAUAAUCUCACCUCAGAUUCAAGAGUUCAUUUUUUUAACGGUAAUUAUAUUAUCAGUUUUAAGUCCUGUAAAGCAAUGAUGGUAGGGUUAAAUAUAUUUUAUUAACGUAAAAAUAUGUAAUAAAUUAAAUGCUGCUGAAAUUUGAAAUUUUGGGAAUGAACCAUUGGCUGCAUCGCAUCUCUAGAUGCACUUGUCUUGGAAAGUAGCUUCGAGUGUAUUUAGUAUUGUGGUAGAUGUUAUGGCUAUGAUUUAAAAAAAGUUGUUUUAUAAAAAAUAAUUUUAGUUGAGAUUGGUUUGAAAAAAUAUAUGUUUUUUAUAAUUAUGGUCGAAAUUGACGUUAAAAAAAAAAUAAUUUAAUGUGUUUGAUUAAGAAUGCUUUUGAAAUUGAGGUUAUAAAAUAAUUUAAAUAUAUAUAUAUAUAUAUUAAUAUUGAUGAUUUUUAAUUUAAAUAUUGUGGAUUUAACUACUGUUAUUAUAUCAUGAAAUAAAUCAUACUUUAUAUAAAACAUUUUUUUUAUUAUUCCAUGAAACCAUCUACAAUUCCAUUAAAUACGAAAUACAUCCGACAAGAACUACAAUUUUCAUAAUUUUUUGAGCAUGUAAUAAAAUUAGAUAAAAUAUUAUCAGGUAUAAAAUUGAUACUACAAUACGGGUGAAUUUAAUUCACUCUAUACUAGUUUUUUUUUAAUAUAUUAAAAAAAUUAACACACUAAAAAAAAAAAUUUCUUAGGUCCCAUGAUCAAAACACAGCUGGUGAAGAUAACCAAACAUUAUGUUAUUGAGUUAACGCAUUUAUCAACUUAUCGUAACAUUGUUCAAGAUGUGUUGUUUUUAUUUUUAAUUGGUUUUUAUUUAAAAAUAUAUUAAAAUAUUAUUUUUAACAUAAUUUUUAAAAAAAUUAAUAGUUUUUUAUUUUUAUUUUAAAUUAAUAAUUUUUAUAUUAUUUUGAUAUACUGAUGUUAAAAAUAAUUUUUAAAAAGUAAAAAAAUAUUAUUUUAAUAUAUUUAUAAAUAAAAAAUACUUUAAAAAAUAAUUAUACCAUCACUUUUUUUUUAGCAUAAGAAAACAAGAAACUUGCUCCAAGAAGGUUUAUACUUUAUACCAAUAAUAUAGCAUGCUAAUUUGAUGAAAUAAAUGCAUGAUUGAUGGAGCAACUAAUAAAUGGAGUAAAUUGAUAUGGCCAUUUCGCAGACAGGACAUAUAUACAUGCACAUGCAAAGAUCAUUUGCAAGGGCAGAAGCAAGAAGGACAUCGUGUGUCUUUGUCUACAUUGUUUAGUCUUGAUUUGUCGAGGCAGUUACAUAAGCUUACAAGUGGCAUUUUCUCCCUAUUUUCCAGUGCUUCCUAAUCUUUUUAUUGUUUCAUAUCAGUUGUUUUGCUUUAUAUAUAUAUAUAUAUAUAUAUGGAAAAGGCGAGUUCAAUAAGAUGUGAGAAAUAAAAACAUCACAAAGCUUUCCGACCAUACAUAAACCGAACACUAGCUCCCUAUAUAAGAUAAAAGAAUAAAGCGAGAAACAUGUGUGGAAGAAGAAUUACAUCAUGGUCUUAUAUAUAUUACAAUCCCUGAUUUAAAAAUCCAUAUCAUUAAGAAUGCAAUGAAUGCUAAGAUAUAAACUUAAUUCCUAGAAUAUCUGUUAUAGAUAUGAUCACAAUUAUUUUCAGUAUCAGUAAUCUCUUAUGCAGAUAUGAUCAGAAAUUACGAUUAUCUUCAGUAUUAGUGAUCAUUGAUCAUGAUCUUUUCAGUAUUAGAGAUCCUUGAUUAUGAUAGUAAUCCUUAAUCAUGAUUAUUUUCAGUAUCAAUAUUAUUUUUAGUAUCAAUAAUCACUUAUCAUGAUUAUCUUCAGUAUCAGUAAUCUCUUGUGUAGAUAUGAUCAGAGAUCAUGAUUAUCUUCAGUAUCAGUGAUCCCUAAUCAUGAUAGUAAUCCAUAAUCAUGUUUAUCUUUGGUAUCAGUAUUAUCUUCAGUAGAUUUGAUAAUAUAUUUAACACGUCCCCGUAAUUUGAAUAGGGGAGGUUACGAACGUUGAGAUUGGAGCUCAAAAGAUUGAACCGUGCAGCAGAGAGUGGUUUUGUAAGGAGAUCGGCUAGUUGAUCACGACUAGACAAAAAAUUGACAGUCAUUUUUUUUUAGAAACAAGAUCUCUGACGAAGUGAAAAUCAAUCUCGAUUUGUUUUGUGCGUGCAUGAAACACUGGAUUGGAGGAUAGAUACAUGGCACCAAUAUUAUCACACCAAAGAGUGAAAGAGUGGAACUUUGAGAUAGGUGUAAACCAAGUUCUGCAACUAAAAAUUGUAAUCAUUGGAGUUUAGUUGCAGUGUCUGCGAGAGCCUUGUAUUCAGCCUCAGUACUGCUACGAGCUACUAUAGCAUGUUGUUUGCUACACCAAGAAAUUAAAUUUGAGCCAAGAAACACACGGUAGGCACCAACAAAUCGACAAUCAUUUGUACCCCCUGUCCAAUAUGCAUCAGAGAAGGCCUGAAAUGUGAAGGAGCUGCUACAAGACAAUAGUAAACAGUAGGAGAUGGAGUGUUUGAGAUAGCGUUGAAUUCUCUUUACACAUCCAAUGGGACUGUUUCGGUUGAUGCAUAAAUUUGCUAACACGAUGAACGGCGAAAGCAAUUUCAAGUCGAGUGAAUAAGAGAUAAUAAAGGCCACCAACAAUGCUUCUGUACAGGGUAGGAUCAUCAAAUUGUGCAGUAUCUCUUGUGUAGAUAUGAUUAGAGAUCACAAUUAUUUUUAGUAUCAGUAAUCCCUGAUCAUGAUCUUUUUAGUAUCAGAAACCCCUGAUUAUGAUAGCAAUCCCUGAUCAUGAUUAUCUUCAAUGUCAAUAUUAUCUUCAGUAGAUAUGAUAUUAUUUUUAGUAUCAAUAAUCACUGAUCAUGAUUAUUUUCAGUAUUAGUAAUAAUUUCUUGUGUAGAUAUAAUUAGAGAUUAUGAUAAUCUUCAAUAUCAGUGAUUCAUGAUCAUGAUAGUAAUCUCUGAUCAUGUUUAUUUUCAGUAUCAGUAGUAUUAUCUUAGAAUUGAUAAUAAUCAACCCUUUUGAUAAUGAAGAAUCCCCUUGGCAAAAUACAACUCACCCUGACCUUAUCAAUAACUAUCCCCGUCAUCAUCUCCAGUUGUCCUCCCCAAAAUAUGAUGAAGAAAUUAGAGAGAGGAAAAAACAUGGAUUUCUUUUUAAAAAGCAAAAAAAAAAAUUCACUAUUAGGCUUGAACCGAACAACUAGAAUAGAACCAAAAACGUUUUUUGUGAAAUUUGAGCGAAAUUACCGACACAAGUCAAGAUUCCAUGUGAAAUCAAAAAGUCCAGUAAAGGUUUUUCUAUAUAAAUAAUUAUUUAUAAGGGUUUUAUAUCUCCAGAAUCUCUCCCCCCCGAAACAAGGAAGAAUUUUACCAGUCAAGACAAUCCAAAAUCUCCCUGCCUUGAACCAUGUCUUUCAUUGAAAUUAGAAAUUAAAGCAAUAAUCUUAAUUUCAUUUAAAUAAUUUUGAUGGAGUUCAUGCUCUUGGCCUUUGCCCUAGUUUAUUCCCACAGAUAUGCAGAUAUGGAAAAAUAUGGAAAAAGUUUCAUUUGUCUCUCACUUGAGCACACAACAGAUUCCUUCUCCAUCUCACCGAUGAAUCAAGCAUCCCAAGUCAUAUUUUCUUACUUGAGUUUUUAUACAAAUCAUCAUCUUCACAGCCUAAAGCACGUUGACUACAAGAAGAAUCCUUCCAUAUUAACACGUAAAUAUUACAGCGUACCAUUUCAAAUUGACAAGCACGCAGGAGUGUGACAAAAGCCAUAUAUCUAUGUUAAUCAGCUAAAAUCUCAUUUCCUAGUGUUAAAAUUUCUUAUGGAACAUAAUCAGGAGAUUCAGGACAAGUGGUCUCCAUCAAAACCCUCCUCCCCACAGGAACUCCCUCGUGCCUGAUGAAGCACCUCCCUCGGUACCCUUUCAAGUUCUGAAACCUUGACAGAGGAGGUUGAGAUGCUUUCAUUGUCUGUGCUGUAUGUUGUCCGCCCCCUAUGCAAUUUCCGUGACCACAUGACAACAAACCUUUUGGGCUGAACUACAUAUAAAACUGCAAACAAGGGAAGAGAAAAUCUUCCCCUUGCUGCAAGUUUAGUAAAGGAGGAUCACGUACUUGAUCCACUCUUUCUUCCAAACCUGUUCCCUGAUUGGAAUCGAGACAUUCGCCGGCUGACUGGUCCAGCUGAUUGAUGCAACAUAGUGCUCUCCCCCGCACUUCUAUAGGGGCUCCCCGCCCUCAAUCCACUGAGCAUCUUGGUGGGCAAAAGAUUAUCCCUCAGUUUACAGGUAACUUGAAAGAGAGCAUUCUGUACAUUUUUGUGCUCGCCAGUAAUCUGCAAAACAUGUAACAGUUUGGGAAUAAAUCGCAGAAAAAUACUUUACCAGUAUCUAUCUAUAGUUCUAUACCAGUUUUUAUCCUGGAUAAUCAAGAUAAAUACUUGACUUUGAACGCAUCAGGCAAUAUCAAAGAACAAAAGGCAACCGAUAAGUAACAGAAUUGGUACAUUUAAAAUAUUGCAUAUCUACACAACAAACAACAAAACAUCAAAAUUUUAUAUAAUAAGAUAAAUAAAAAAAAACAUCCAAAUACAAUCGAUGCCAGAGAACUGGUAGAGCUUUGAAAAUGUUACAAGAAGAGGUGAAAUUUGCUAACCAAACUAGAUGGUGACAACGACAAGUGAUGAAGUGUUGAUUGUUUUUGGAAGGAGAGGAGCAGAUAACGAUACAAGCACAAAUCACGGCAGCACCAAAAAUCACAUUAAGCAAUGAUUAUUAGACUCAAUGACAUACUUCAACCCAGUUUAUGUUGUAUACUAAAAUCCUUUUAAUGUCACAAUAACUUGACAGCAAAUAAAAAAAAAGACAUAAAAAUUGCACCUGCACUACUGCAUCAUUCUUUGAAGCGAAAUCAAAGAUUCGGUCCCCUUGCAAUCUGUAUAUCAGCACCAGUUGUUUCUAUCAUUUCUGAAUCUACCCUACCUCCUCUUCCAAUCAAACAAGAGACCCUAUUUGAUGGCAGCAGAGGGUUGCUGUCACGGUAAUUUCCUCAAUCAAGCCCAAGGAACGAGCUCUUUCAAUGUCAUGCUCAAUAGAUCUAGCAAAGACAAGAAGAAGUGCAUUCUGUGCAGGAGAGUGGGAUGAUUCAAGGUUCUCCAAUGCAGAAACAGUAACUAGACGGUCAUCGGAGUUGGUUAUAGGAGGAGCAAAACUGAUAGAAGCACCAGUUUGAUUUUGCAGAGCUCUGACUACAGACCCUCCCGUGCCUAUGAUUCUCCCAGCUGCACCAUGGGAGCAGAUCAUCCUAAAUUGAACUUGUGAUUGUUCAUUAGGUUUCUUAUUGUCUCCAUCAGUUGCAAUAUUUUCAGAAUAUGUGGGUAGCAGGGAACACAUUGGUUCACCAGAGGAACCACUUCUUCUUCUCCUACCAGCUCCAAGGCUUAAAUCCACCUCAUCCUUCUCGUAUGGAGUACAAUCUUGAAGACCGCUAGUUACAUCAAGCACUGCUUUCUUUAUGGCCACAGUUCUACUCCCUGUAAUCUUUUUUUUUUUUUUUUUUCAUACACCAAUUUUUUCAAAUUUCAUUUCAGAUAAUUUAAAACUGCAAACAAGUGAAGAGAAAAUCUUCACCUGUGGCAACUGCAGCAAUGAGGAAGGAGUAUCUCGUACUUGAUCCAAUCUUUUUUCAAAGCUUGUUUCCUGAUUGGAAUCUAGAGAUUCACCAGCUGAUUGAUGCAACAUGGAGAUCUCCCCCGCUCUUCUAUAGGGGCUCCCUGUCCUCAAUCCAUUGAGCAUCUCGGUAGGCAAAAGAUUUCCCUCAGUUUACAGGUAACUUGAAACAGAGCAUUCUGUACAUUUUUCUCCUCGCCUGUAAUCUGCAAAACAUAUGACAGUUUAGGAAUAAAUCGCUAGGUAGGUGGCACCAAAGAUUUUAACCAGGUAGGUACGGGACUGGAAUUCAAAAAAAAAAAAGAAGACAUAAAUCUUCAAUAGAAGCACCAAAUGCUUUACCAUGUUGGCUGAUCACACUCCAUUACAAGGUAUAAACAUUCCAGUAUCUAUCUAUAGUUCUAUACUAGUUUUUAUCCUGGAUGAUCAAGAAAAAUCCUCUACUUUGAAAGCAUCAGGCAAUAUCAAAGAACAAAAGGCAACUGAUAAGUGACAGAACUCUUGGCACAUUUAAAAUAUUGCAUAUCUACACAACAAACAGCAAAUACAUCAAAAUUUUAUAUAAUAAGAUAAAUGGAAAACAAGUACAAAUACAACUGAAGUGCAGAGAACUGGUAGUGCUUUGAAAAUGUUACAAGAAGAGGUGAAAUUUGCUAACCAAACUAGAUGAUGACAACGACAGGUGAUGAAGAAGUGUUGAUUGUUCUUGCAGGGAGAGGAGCAGAUAACUGAUUACAAGCACAAAUCACGGCAGCACCAAAUAUCACAUUAAGCAAUGAUUAUUAGACUCAAUGACAUACUUCAACCCAGUUUAUGUUGUAUACUAAAAUCCUUUUAAUGUCACAAUAACUUGACAGCAAAUACAAAAAAGUAAGACAUAAAAAUUGCACCUGCACUACUGCAUCAUUCUUUGAAGCGAAAUCAAAGAUUCGGUCCCCUUGCAAAAUCUGUAUGUCAGCACCAGUUGUUUCUAUCAUUUCUGAAUCUACCCUACCUCCUCUUCCAAUCAAACAAGAGACCCUAUUUGAUGGCAGCAUGAGGGUUGCUGUCACGGUAAUUUCCUCAAUCAAGCCCAAGGAACGAGCUCUUUCAAUGUCAUGCUCAAUAGAUCUAGCAAAGACAAGAAGAAGUGCAUUCUGUGCAGGAGAGUGGGAUGAUUCAAGGUUCUCCAAUGCAGAAACAGUAACUAGACGGUCAUCGGAGUUGGUUAUAGGAGGAGCAAAACUGAUAGAAGCACCAGUUUGAUUUUGCAGAGCUCUGACUAUGGAUCCUCCCGUGCCUAUGAUGCUCCCGGCUGCACCAUGGGAGCAGAUCAUCCUAAAUUGAACUCGUGAUUGUUCAUUAGGUUUCUUAUUGUCUCCAUCAGUUGCAAUAUUUUCAGAAUAUGUGGGUAGCAGGGAACACAUUGGUUCACCAGAGGAACCACUUCUUCUUCUCCUAACAGCUCCAAGGCUUAAAUCCACCUCAUCCUUCUCGUAUGGAGGACAAUCUUG
Molecule: long non-coding RNA, 8985 nt
Filed under: Populus tremula
Lineage: Eukaryota; Viridiplantae; Streptophyta; Magnoliopsida; Malpighiales; Salicaceae
Description: long non-coding RNA (PTRE_LNC002714)
Source: RNAcentral